AUUGAACGCUGGCGGCAUGCUUUACACAUGCAAGUCGAACGGUAGAGGGGGCAACCCCUUGAGAGUGGCGAACGGGUGAGUAAUGCAUCGGAACGUGCCCAGUCGUGGGGGAUAGCCCGGGGAAACCCGGAUUAAUACCGCAUACGACCUGAGGGUGAAAGCGGGGGACCGAAAGGCCUCGCGCGAUUGGAGCGGCCGAUGUCGGAUUAGGUAGUUGGUGGGGUAAAGGCCUACCAAGCCUGCGAUCCGUAGCUGGUCGGAGAGGACGACCAGCCACACUGGGACCGAGACACGGCCCAGACUCCUACGGGAGGCAGCAGUGGGGAAUUUUGGACAAUGGGCGCAAGCCUGAUCCAGCCAUGCCGCGUGCGGGAAGAAGGCCCUCGGGUUGUAAACCGCUUUUGUCAGGGAAGAAAUCCUUUGGACUAAUACUCUGGGGGGAUGACGGUACCUGAAGAAUAAGCACCGGCUAACUACGUGCCAGCAGCCGCAGUAA
RNAcentral lists this ribosomal RNA (496 nucleotides) under uncultured bacterium. Its description in RNAcentral is "partial 16S ribosomal RNA". It matches the Rfam family "Bacterial small subunit ribosomal RNA", at positions 29 to 523 of the family's 1533-position model. The record is from RNAcentral.